Molecule: ribosomal RNA, 423 nt
Filed under: uncultured bacterium
Lineage: Bacteria
Description: partial 16S ribosomal RNA
Rfam family: Bacterial small subunit ribosomal RNA
Source: RNAcentral
CUCAACCUGGGAAUGACAUUCCAAACUGGCGGGCUCGAGUCCGGGAGAGGGAGGUGGAAUUCCCCGUGUAGCGGUGAAAUGCGUAGAUAUGGGGAGGAACACCGGUGGCGAAGGCGACCUCCUGGCCCGGCACUGACGCUGAGGUGCGAAAGCGUGGGCAGCGAACGGGAUUAGAUACCCCGGUAGUCCACGCCGUAAACGAUGAGGACUAGGUGUGGGGCGGCGAUCCCGCGCCGUGCCGAAGCCAACGCGUUGAGUCCUCCGCCUGGGGAGUACGGCCGCAAGGCUAAAACUCAAAGGAAUUGACGGGGGCCCGCACAAGCGGUGGAGCAUGUGGUUUAAUUCGAUGCAACGCGAAGAACCUUACCGGGGCUUGACAUCCCUCGGGAUCCCCGAGAAAUCGGGGAGUGCCUGCGGGAGCCG